CAAAUCUUUAGGCUCAACCUAAAGGCCGCGUAUGAGACUGUAAGACUAGAGAGUGGGAGAGGUAGAUGGAAUUGCUGGUGUAGCGGUAAAAUGCGUUAAUAUCAGCAAGAACACCGAAGGCGAAGGCAAUCUACUGGAACAUUUCUGACACUGAGGAACGAAAGCGCGGGUAGCGAAUGGGAUUAGAUACCCCAGUAGUCCGCGCCGUAAACGAUGAGUGCUAGGUAUUGGGAGUAUCGACCCUCUCAGUGCCGGUUAACCAAGCUAACGCAUUAAGCACUCCGCCUGGGGAGUACGGUCGCAAGACUAAAACUCAAAGGAAUAGACGGGGACCCGCACAAGCGGUGGAGCGUGUGGUUUAAUUCGAUGAUAAGCGAGGAACCUUACCUGGGCUUAAAUCAUAGCUGCAAGCCCCCCGAAAGGGGAGCCUCUUUCGAAGGUGCUAUGAAGGUGCUGCAUGGUUGUCGUCAGCUCGUGGCGUGAGCUGUUCCCUUAAGUGGGGUAACGAGCGCAACCCUCGUCACGUGUUAUAUGUGUCACGUGAGACUGCCCUCGCAAGAGGGAGGAAGGUGAGGACGACGUCAAAUCAGCAUGGCCCUUACGUCCAGGGCGACACACGCGCUACAAUGGCCGGUACAACGGGUAGCCAAACCGCAAGGUGGAGCUAAUCCCACAAAACCGGUCCCAGUUCGGAUUGGAGUCUGCAACUCGACUCCAUGAAGUCGGAAUCGCUAGUAACGGCAAAUCAGCCACGUUGCCGUGAAUACGUUCUCGGGUCUUGUACU
Molecule: ribosomal RNA, 785 nt
Filed under: marine metagenome
Description: bacterial SSU rRNA
Rfam family: Bacterial small subunit ribosomal RNA
Source: RNAcentral